This 717-nucleotide unclassified non-coding RNA is filed under the name Hevea brasiliensis (rubber tree). Lineage: Eukaryota; Viridiplantae; Streptophyta; Magnoliopsida; Malpighiales; Euphorbiaceae. The record is from RNAcentral.
GGAGUAUUUGCUCUUCUUCUAUGGCUCCUCGUCGCAUUAACCUCCAUAGUCCGCGCUGAUGAACUUUCUUUAGUUGUAUCUCAAUCUACCACGCUGCAGAUAUCUCCAGGAAUAGUAGUGGAAAAUUCUCCUGGCUCUAAGCCAGGAACGAAAGUUAUUUGUGAGAGAGUUCAGAUCCAUGGAUUGUCAAGGCUAAAAAGUCUAAGAAAGUAUGCCCAUUCAGUAAAGGUGAAUGUGUCAUAUCUGAAUCCAAGUGGGCGUCCACCUAAUGCUGAGGUCUGUUUCCAUAGGAAUCAAUCCGUGGCAAUUGGGAUGUGUCCGCCAGGCCAAUGGAUGAAAAUAACCAAGGGUUCAUGGGUGCGAUCAAUGUCACCUUUCGAGCACAGGUUUUUGGAUAUUAGGAUGACAGGCUCAUCUAAGGACACUUUUCAGGUCUCGCUGCACGAAGAUUUUUAUUUGUAUCGUGUUGUGUUUCUGGUAUUGGGUAUAUUGCUACUUGCUCUGGCAUCCUUCCUUAGCAAGUCUCUAGUAUUUUUCUAUGGUGGUGCGAUGGCAGUAGGGGUUAUUCUUGUGAUACUGAUGGUCCUUUUCCAGGGAAUGAAGCUUCUUCCGACUGGUAGGAAGAGUUCACUAGCAAUAUUCUUGUAUUCAUCCAUUGUUGGUGUAGGAUCUUUCAUUCUAAGCUAUGUGCCCCAAUUGUUGCGUUCAAUACUGCGC